This 483-nucleotide ribosomal RNA is filed under the name uncultured bacterium. RNAcentral describes it as "partial 16S ribosomal RNA". It matches the Rfam family "Bacterial small subunit ribosomal RNA", at positions 30 to 506 of the family's 1533-position model. The record is from RNAcentral.
AUUGAACGCUGGCGGCAGGCCUAACACAUGCAAGUCGAGCGGAUGAAGGGAGCUUGCUCCUGGAUUCAGCGGCGGACGGGUGAGUAAUGCCUAGGAAUCUGCCUGGUAGUGGGGGAUAACGUCCGGAAACGGGCGCUAAUACCGCAUACGUCCUGAGGGAGAAAGUGGGGGAUCUUCGGACCUCACGCUAUCAGAUGAGCCUAGGUCGGAUUAGCUAGUUGGUGGGGUAAAGGCCUACCAAGGCGACGAUCCGUAACUGGUCUGAGAGGAUGAUCAGUCACAAUGGAACUGAGACACGGUCCAGACGCCUACGGGAGGCAGCAGUGGGGAAUAUUGGACAAUGGGCGAAAGCCUGAUCCAGCCAUGCCGCGUGUGUGAAGAAGGUCUUCGGAUUGUAAAGCACUUUAAGUUGGGAGGAAGGGCAGUAAGUUAAUACCUUGCUGUUUUGACGUUACCAACAGAAGAAGCACCGGCUAACUUCGU